AGAGCUAGUUGAACAUGGUCAUUUUUUUCCUACCCGGAUGCCUGUAAACCUUGACUAUUUGCUAGGCAUGGACUUGAGUUGAGGGUGGUAACAUUUCUAAUGUAUCCUGAAUGUUGGUUGGUUUUUUUUUUUUUUUUUUUCAGUUGAAGAACAAGAGAGGCAGGAAAGGAAUAGAGGCCAACAGCCCCCCAAAGAGGGUGGUGAAGAGAGUGCAAACUUGGACUUCAUGUUGGCCCUAAGUCUGCAAAAUGAAGGCCAAGCCUCCAGUGUGGCAGAGCAGGACUUCUGGAGGGCCGUAUGUGAGGCCGACCAGUCUCAUGGCGGUCCCAGGUCUCUGAGUGACAUAAAGGGUGCAGCUGACGAGAUCAUGUUGCCUUGUGAAUUUUGUGAGGAGCUCUACCCAGAGGAACUGCUGAUUGACCAUCAGACAAGCUGUAACCCUUCACGUGCCUUACCUUCACUCAAUACUGGCAGCUCUUCCCCCAGAGGGGUGGAGGAACCUGAUGUCAUCUUCCAGAACUUCUUGCAACAGGCUGCAAGUAACCAGUUAGACUCUUUGAUGGGCCU
Molecule: small RNA, 567 nt
Filed under: Pan troglodytes (chimpanzee)
Lineage: Eukaryota; Metazoa; Chordata; Mammalia; Primates; Hominidae
Description: retained intron
Source: RNAcentral